UUGGGAGAGUGGAGAAUCGCUCUCGACGCAAGUUGAGGGAGGAAAGUCCGAACACCAUAGGGCACGACGCCACGUAACUCCGAUUCGGUCGGAGAUACACGCGGGAGGAACGUUUCAAAGCGUUUCGACGGAAAGUGCCACAGAGAAUAUACCGCCAGAGCCGAAGUUGCGUUCGAGGGAAACUUCGAAAGGCUACGGUUCUGGUAAGGGUGAAAAGGUGGUGUAAGAGACCACCGCGUUUUGUGUAAACAAAACGGCAUGGAAAACCCCGUCCGGUGCAAGGCCAAAUAGGGAGCCCACGAACGGCCCGUUCACGGCAGAGCAAUCUGCCAGGGUUCCGGGUAUGGCUGCUAAGACAAAUGAUUCUCUCCCCCGGUUUCCGGGGCAGACAAAACUCGGCUUACAACUCUCCCAAAGUC
Molecule: RNase P RNA, 419 nt
Filed under: Verrucomicrobiota bacterium
Lineage: Bacteria; Pseudomonadati; Verrucomicrobiota
Description: Verrucomicrobia bacterium (soil metagenome) RNase P RNA component class A
Rfam family: Bacterial RNase P class A
About the family: Ribonuclease P (RNase P) is a ubiquitous endoribonuclease, found in archaea, bacteria and eukarya as well as chloroplasts and mitochondria. Its best characterised activity is the generation of mature 5'-ends of tRNAs by cleaving the 5'-leader elements of precursor-tRNAs.
Source: RNAcentral